RNAcentral lists this ribosomal RNA (689 nucleotides) under Athelia abscondita. RNAcentral describes it as "partial large subunit ribosomal RNA". Lineage: Eukaryota; Fungi; Basidiomycota; Agaricomycetes; Atheliales; Atheliaceae. The record is from RNAcentral.
UAACUGCGGAGGUGAAGCGGGAAAAGCUCAAAUUUAAAAUCUGGCGUCCUCCGGGCGUCCGAGUUGUAAUCUGGAGAAGCGUUUUCCGCGUCGGACCGUGUACAAGUCUUCUGGAACGGAGCGUCAUAGAGGGUGAGAAUCCCGUCUCUGACACGGACUACCGAUGCUUUUGUGAUGCGCUCUCGAAGAGUCGAGUUGUUUGGGAAUGCAGCUCAAAAUGGGUGGUAAAUUCCAUCUAAAGCUAAAUAUUGGCCAGAGACCGAUAGCGAACAAGUACCGUGAGGGAAAGAUGAAAAGCACUUUGGAAAGAGAGUUAAACAGUACGUGAAAUUGUUGAAAGGGAAACGCUUGAAGUCAGUCGCGUUGGCCGAGACUCAGCCUGGCUUGCCUGGUGUACUUCUCGGUUGACGGGUCAGCAUCAGUUUUGACCGUCGGAUAAAGGUUGGAGGAAUGUGGCAUCCCUCGGGAUGUGUUAUAGCCUCUGAUUCGCAUACGGCGAUUGGGACUGAGGAACUCAGCACGCCUUUAUGGUCGGGGUUCGCCCACGUAACGUGCUUAGGAUGCUGKCAUAAUGGCUUUAAGCGACCCGUCUUGAAACACGGACCAAGGAGUCUAACAUGCCCGCGAGUGUUUGGGUGUUAAACCCGAGCGCGUAAUGAAAGUGAAAGUGAGAUCCCUGUCGUGGGAGC